UUCAGCAGCCUUCGUAAGCCUUCCUCACUCAGUAAAACCUCCGACAGCCCCUGGGGAGAGACAAUCCCUGGCUAUCAUUCUGAACUAACGCUGAACUUCAAGCCACCGUGACACCUCCACGUGACCAUGGAAAUUGUCUGAGUGCUGAGAAGCAUGAAUGGGCCAACCACCUGAGAAUCACACCAGGGUAGGAUGAGCACGUUCCUAAAGCCUCUGCCUGCAGGGAGGGAGAUAGGAAAUGCACAUGAAACGGUGGACAAUUAUCAAUGCAACAGUGCAAAGGAUGACGCAGGGCUAAAUUUUAUACAGGUCAGGUACACAGAGGUGGAAAACACAUCUGUGAGCCAUGGCAGUCUAGGAAGUGUUCACCGGCGAGAUGGGAAUUGAGUGCUGAAGUAGGUGUGAGUUUAUGUAUACAGACGGGUGUGUUUUGAAAAAGGAAUCAUGAAUAAACCAUUUAGUUGUCCGCCUUCCUCAUCUCACCGUUAGCCAACCAAAGACAUAAAAUGUAUCUCUCUGUGGUCCAAGUCUCUACAUAGUAACCAGGAAAAGGCCCAGAGAAAGCUUUUCCAGUUUAAGUUAUAAUCAUUGAGGGUGGAAAACUGGUGAGAUGGCAAAAUGAUUGUGCAUGAAGAAGGUCCCUGAUCUUGUCUGUGAAGCUUGGCUAUGCCCAGCUCCAUUGACUAAGGGUCAGGUCACUAUUACAACCUCUCCACGUGAAGGUGAUGCUACGUGUAUAGGCAAUUCCAGGGACACCCUCUCUGGUUUUUUAAAAAAUACUUCAAAUAUAGCAUUGAGUUAGUUGGCCUCUCCAUCAAAAGGACAACAGCACGUGAUAAAAGGAGGGCUGCCGUGGGAGGACUCCUGGGACAACAGGCUAGGUUAAACAUUAGCAUCUGAAAAGAAAACUAGUCGGAAACUUGAGAUACUGGAGGAUUUCAGGAAGGGAAGGCCUCGUCUGAGACCACAGAGGGGCUGCCAACAAUGACCGUGAUGCCUCAGUUCAAGGAAAUGGGCAAUCCCAGAGUGCACGAUGGAGAAAAAUGUUCUUAACUGUUUCCUCUGGAAAUCACCCCUGAAGGGAUGCCAGGCUCUUCUAGAAUCUCUACUCACUGGUGCUUCUAGCCUGCUGGAUGGGUGAGAGGUAAAGUACAGACCUGAUGGGAAAAGUAGCAGAGUCCAUGGCUCUUCCUCUAACCCCUCCACUCAUCUGCUAACUGGAAAAUUCUCCUGGGUCGGGUCCCACGAGGUCACACGGAUUUCUCAUUUCACAUGGACCGGAAGAGAAGCCACUGAUGAAACACCAGAGGAGAGAUUUUCCAACAUGGUGUGAUUUCGGAGACCCCUUCUGUCCCAUCACGAAUAUGUCACAGUCCCCCAAAUCCUCCCCGCAAGAGGUCCCCGCAGGUGUCCCAGCCUCAGAGACUUCGGACCCCUUUGGAGAGACCAGUGAGGCGUGCGUUUACUAGGAGGGAUGGAGCUUGCUUCCCUGACAUACCCUAAGCCUCUAGAAUAGCACCUGCCUGCCCUUGGUGCUGAGAAACGAUUGAGUAAACAGAGCUGCUUUCGGGUCUUUCCUGGCCAAAGAUCAGAAGUGAGGGGAGAGAAAGGAAAGCAGCUCUGAGGGCAUGUGUUUCACAAUUUGGGCUUCCAGAUCCACCUUCAUUAUCAAGAGGGAUCUGUUACAGAACACCCAUCGGACCAGUGGCUCCCACUUGGAGAGAUUGUAUCAAUUGGGCUGUAGCUAUUAUAAGACUGCCCAAACAUUGUCUGUUGUCUGAUCAGUAAUAUCUGUCCAUGCAAACAAGCCCGAUUAUUUCCCAAAUCAAUGUAAAUGGGGCUGGGAUUAAUAAAUAUAAAUCAGUUUUUAAAAUGACAGAAUAUCUAGAGACCUUCAGUCACUGUGUGUCGAUGAACCCUGCGAGUAUAAACACAAGCAGAUACUUCGUUAUUUUCUUGACAUUCAAAAGGCAUCAGAAUGUUUGGAAAUGACUGCUCUAGACCUAUCCACUCAUUUCACAGAUAACGUUUCAUGGAUACUCUUGGAGAAGGACCCGGACCUGCCCACAGUCAUUCAGCCCUUUGGUGGCAGGGCCAGGUAUCAACAGAGGACAUCUCUGCCCUUUUCUUUCCACCACAUUCCCUUAGGUGGCAUCUUCCUAAACACCCUGAUCUGAAAGGCCUGCCCAAGUCAACCUAAUUUAUUUCUGGAACAGAAGUACUCGUGGCAGGGACUGUGUGCCGGACAUUCAUGAUGACCACUGCCCUCCCAUCAACUCAACGGGGCAGGUGAUAUCAUUAUCCUCGUUUUAUAAGUUUCAAAAAAAAUGGUGGCUGGAGGGGCUCCAUCAUUGCCACAUGGUUAGCAAGUUGCAGAGACAGAUGCAAACUGACUCCAAAGCCCAGAUUCUCACCCAUUUGGCUGUACACAACUUAAAGAGUUCAUUUUAAUGGAAACCACUGGCAUCUCUUGAAACAAAAUUUAAGGGCAUCAAAAAGCAGCCUUCAGUAGUGUUGGCUCUAGCCCCCUAGCAUUUGCUGUGGGCAAGG
Molecule: non-coding RNA, 2550 nt
Organism: Delphinapterus leucas (beluga whale)
Lineage: Eukaryota; Metazoa; Chordata; Mammalia; Artiodactyla; Monodontidae
Source: RefSeq, a predicted model, not a curated record